CCUGGCGGCCUCCCUGGCGGCGGCGGCGGCGGGCGCCGCCGGAGCCCUAGGGAGGAAGCUACUUCCUGGAGGGGGCGCACACUCCCCUGAGAUCGCCCUUUACCUGACCUGAAGUCUUUUCUUGCCUCUCAGCCGGGGGAGUGGGGUACCUCUCUAUCCUACCCCAGAGGGAUGCCGGUCGCCUGAGGAGCCCCCAGCCCAGUCCUCAGUGGUCCUCACCUUGCACAUUUCUUAACCCCACAAAGCCCCUAAUCCCGAGGAGCCUUGGACCCGUUUCCGCAAGAAGUUUCUUCCUUUCAUCCAUCCCCAGGAGUGCCCCGUUUAAACUCCUUCUGAGCCUCCCUCGCCCCUAACUCCUUGUCCCAGGUCUAACCCGAGGAGUCCCCUAGCCGCCACCCCGGGGACCCAGCCCCUCCUCUCCAACUGCUUUCCUCUGCAGGCCUCGCCAAUGCUUGCUAAACAGCUUUGUGCUCCUUGAGACCCUCAUCUUCGUGGGGCGAGAGACCCUUCCUCCUUGGGUCACCCGAUCCACCCGACUCUCUUCCUUUGAGCGGCGUGGAGGCAGAGGGUGUGUGAAGGAAACCUCUUGGCUUCCACCUGUCUUUCGUGCCCUUCCCUUUCUGUAUCGGAAACAGAAGCCAGAAUGUCUCACCCCUGGAUUUGGGGGAAGAAGGGGGCUGAGGGUGACCACAAGAAGCGUUUAAUGAUGUACAACUGUAUUGGCUGCUAGAAUACAAAGCACUUAGAGAGUUCUGUAACUUCAGGUUUGCAAGCAGUUUCGACAUACCUUGUUUCAUUCUUUCGAGAGGGCGUAGCAAAAGAUUUGGUUCAAGAAGGGUUAAGUUUUGUUCGGGAAUGUGAAUGCUAGUUGUGCUUUUAAUAGUCAAAACUGGAGUUUCCAGAUAAAGAGGGCACCUCUGAAUUUAAUGACCAGACGUCACAUCUUGUAGGUCUCUGUACCGUGAAGAUCCUGGAAACAAGGCGUUCUCUCACAAGGAUUUCCCUGAGGUGCUACAUCUCAGGGAUCACAGAGCUUGUGAGGAAUAAUCUAUUGAAACAUCAACACUGCCAAUCUGGCUGGAGCCAGAGUGUACGAAGAUAACUCACUUUUUAUCGUGUGCUUAUUAUGUGCCAGGUAGUGUUCUAAAUUCUCCGUGUUCCAAGUUCCUAGCUAGGGAAUUGAUCCUUCUCCAGCCCUCCUGUACUCACCUCAGCCGGUUCUUCCUCUUCCCAGUUUCUCACUGUGGGGAAUAUCUAGGAUUCUUGUUGAGGAUGUUCUCUUUGUAUUUGAUUUCUUGCACAGCCACAAUCCCAAGAAGAUUCCCCAGAGGGCAGGGAUUCAAAGGUAAUUCAUAGAGUUUUUUACACAUUUUUUGGAGUUUCCCACCUUUCUGCCAUUCUCAUGCUGUCUCAUGAGAUAUGCAAGCAGAGUUUCAUAUCUAGCUCAUGCUGCUCUUUCCAUUUAUGCUGUUUUUUCCUUGCCACUGCCUCCCCCCACCAUACCGCUAUCCCCCCAUACUUUCCGUCCAGCAUGUCUCUUUACCUGCUCUUUGAGGUUCUUGAUUACAACAGCUAGAACCUAUCAGUUUACUACUACCAUCCAUUAGGUUGUAUUCAAGGCAUCUCCUUUUAUGUGCUUCUGCAAAUUUUAAUUAAAAUAAGUUAUAUUUAUUCUACCUCCUAAAUAGUCUCAACUGUGUCUACUUUUCUCAGAAGUGAGUGCAGGCUGGACCCCCACCCCUUGCUGGAGCCUUCAUGAAAAAUAGCGGUUUGAAGAAUAAGUUAAAGGACAUUGUCAAGAAGGAGUCAAAUUCAAAAGACCACUCUCUGGACAACUGACCCUAUUCUCUUCAACAAAUUAAUGUUACCAAAAAGAGGUUGUUUCAGGAAUCCAAGACAGAGUUAAAACACAUAACCUGGUGUAACCACAUGGUUCCUGGAUUGGAUCCAGGUUGGAGAGUAAUCAGCUCUAAAAGUAUUUUUCCUAGGACAAUUGGGGAACUGUGAAUAUAAGUUUGUAUUAGAUUAAGGAUACAUUGUUAAUUUUAAGCAUUUGUUAUUUUGACAAUGCAGAAAAAUUCUGAUUUUUCAAAGGCAUAUACUAAAAAAAAAAACAAAAACAAAAAAUUAAAACAAGCAACGCUCUUUACUUCCCUGCCCAUUCUCCUGACCUUAAAAUAGGUUGGCACAUUUUCUAUAAAGGACAAAGUAGCACACAUUUUAGGUUUUGCCAUAGUUCUAUGGCAGGUACGCAACUCUACUGCUGUAAUCUGAAAGCAGCCAGAGACACUAUACAUAAACACAAAUGGGCAUGGCUGUGUUGCAAUACAACUUUUUUUUUCAAAAUCAGGCAGCAAGAUACAAGUUGUAGUUUGCCAACCUCUGAUCUAGAACAAUAUACCACGUCCCAACCUCUGAUGUAGAACAAGAUACCAUGUCUCCCGGAAAAGUCUUUCCUGGAACCCAUGGCUUUAUCUUCACUCUGCUCACAUACUGCUUGUGGCAAGAUCCACUUCCCACAUUUAUGAUGUCUUAUUAUAUACUCUGAUGCUGGGAAAGAUUGAAGGCAGGAGGAGGAGGGGACGACAGAAGAUGAGAUGGUUGGAUGGCACCACCAACUCGAUGGACAUGAAUUUGAAAAAGCUCCAGGAGUUGGUGAUGGACGGGGAAGCCUGGCAUGCUGCAGUCCAUGGGGUUGCAGAGUUGGACAUGACUGAGCAACUGAACUGAUUGAACAUUUAUCUCCAUCGGGGAGUAACUUCUGUGAAGGUAGGUGCCAUUUUGCUAUAUGAACCACCAGCCCCAGCCCCACCCUAGUUGAGUUCUUGCAAAAUAGACAUUCAGUGAGUAUUGUUUCCAAAAACCAGGCCUACCCUAAAAGAUUUGGCAUCAUUCAUAACAUUCAAAAGAAUGAGCAGCAGGUUCUAAACAUAAUUUCCGGGUGCCAUCGCCUUCCCCAAACAUUAUUUUAAAGAAACUUAAAAAAAGCACUACUGCUGUCACUAGGGCAUGUAUGUUGCUGCUCGUGGUCUAUGCCAUGAGGUGUUUAUCAGUAUCUUCUAAUCAGAUCUUGUGUAUAUGAAAGUGUAGUAGAUUCCAUGGGCACAGGAGUGUUCUUAUGCUUUUUUUUGCCCCUCUAAAGUGUCUCGAGUACUAUUAGAUUUACAUUAGGUGCACAGUAAAUGCUCAACAAAUUUAAAAUACAGUACUGUGGUAAAAGAUUUUUUUUUCUCAUGAUAGGGAAAGUGGCACUAAACGCCCACAGAAGGGUUUAUCGGGUUUGAUGAUCACAGCAGGCGCAGUCGUUCCAGGUUCCUUUCCUCAUGUUUACUUUUUUGGUUAGGUGGAGGUUUCUCUGCCUGCCAUGGAAUCCCAGAUUCCAAAGCAAAGGUGUUUGUGGGACAAGGGGAAAGGUACUUGCAUAUCGUCUACAGAAAGUGUCCCCAAAUCCCAGAACACCUUGGGAAGACAUGGAUUUGGAGCAAAGGGAAACUCUGAAAAUAACACAGUCCAGAUCACUAGCAAGAGCGCUUCAGCUCUACAGAACAGGAGACAGGAGGGAAGGGCGUAGGAGGGUACACUCCUUCCACACAGACCUCCUAAAACAGAGGUCAGCCCAAAGACAAGAGUUGGUUACAGAGCAAGGAAGAAGUCAUGGAAUUAAGGUAGAGAAAGGCCAAAGCAGAGGAGAACCUCCAGAAGGGGAGUGAUAUGAAUUAAGAAUUGAGAGAGCUGAGUAAAAGAUUUAUUAUUAGUGCAGUCAAUACCAUGAAACAGCACAUGUAUAACACAACCAGCGACCUGCAGAGACACUAGUGCAAAGGGUAGGGAAGCCUUGACUGAGCUUCCUGGCUCCAUCUGAAGGUGAUGACAGGAGGGUGUGGGCCUGGGUAAGGCAGGCAGGGGCAGAGGGGAGUGGAAGAAAUGUAGUAACCAGACUAAGUAUAGCAGCGUUUUCAAAUUCCUGAGCACAACGUCCCGGAGCUGGAACAUAUGACUGUUCCUCACCGCCUUCAAGCUGUGUCCCUCUCCUCCCCACAGUCCCAGUGGAGCCAUGACCCAACUACCAGACCCACAGCAAGCUGGCCUGGGAUAAAACUCCAAGCUGUCCUAUGGCCAUCUUCCUCUAGCCCCUCUCUCACCUGCAUAUUAAGAUAAUCACACCCACUACCCCUCCCCUUCUCUUACUCUGCUGGCCACCCCAGGGAGGAAGGAAUGCCCUGGGCAGCUUGAAAUGGAGCUGAAGCCCAUGGCGGGUAUGGGUGAGACAGCACAGCCUGUACUCAGUGACAGGAUUUCCAUCCCGUCUUGCCUGGUGAAGCUUAGAACCCAGCUAUAUAUCUCCAAGGAAACUGGGUGUUAGGGUAGGGCUGGUGGCGGGUAGGAUUUCUUCAAAAUUAAAUCCAGAGUUUUACCAUGAGACCCUGGAGAGGCUGGGAGCACAGUUCUCUAGGGCACAGUCAGUGAUGCUGGACGGUCACAUCCAUCACUGGAAUAGAGGAAGCGCCUCAUCCUAGACGGGUUAUGGAGGCUUGGGGCAGGCUUCAGUUCAGCCAGGGGCUCCCAUGGCCCUUCCUAUAUUAAAGCCAAAGGUUGUGCUGAAAAGGAAAAAUAUAAAAGACCCCAGCCCUGUCCCACCCUAUCCAAAAAUCCCCACAACAGGAACAGCAAAAGAAAAGUUUUCUGUUUUGUUAAUUUUUUUUUUCUUUUUCCUUUCUUAAAAAAAAAGGUAAAUAAAUUAAAUUGCCAACAAUGUGGCUGGGCUAGAAAAGUGGGGUAGCCAUAAUCAGGCCUUUCUUUAAAAAAAAAUAAAA
Molecule: long non-coding RNA, 4814 nt
Organism: Bubalus bubalis (water buffalo)
Lineage: Eukaryota; Metazoa; Chordata; Mammalia; Artiodactyla; Bovidae
Exons: 3
Source: RefSeq, a predicted model, not a curated record